UAGGGAAUUUUCCACAAUGGGCGAAAGCCUGAUGGAGCAACGCCGCGUGCAGGAUGAAUGCCUUCGGGUUGUAAACUGCUUUUGUUAGUGACGAUUAUGACGGUAACUAACGAAUAAGGGUCUGCUAACUACGUGCCAGCAGCCGCGGUCAUACGUAGGACCCAAGCGUUAUCCGGAAUUACUGGGCGUAAAGAGUUGCGUAGGUGGCAAAGUAAGCGGAUAGUGAAAGCGUGUGGCUCAACCAUACAUCCAUUAUUCGAACUGCUUAGCUAGAGGGCGAGAGAGGUAGAUGGAAUUCCUAAUGUAGGGGUAAUAUCCGUAGAUAUUAGGAGGAACACCGAUGGCGUAGGCAGUCUACUGGCUCGUUUCUGACACUAAGGCACGAAAGCAUGGGGAGCAAACAGG
RNAcentral lists this ribosomal RNA (405 nucleotides) under uncultured bacterium. RNAcentral's name for it is "bacterial SSU rRNA". It matches the Rfam family "Bacterial small subunit ribosomal RNA", at positions 355 to 776 of the family's 1533-position model. The record is from RNAcentral.